This 490-nucleotide ribosomal RNA is filed under the name uncultured bacterium. RNAcentral describes it as "partial 16S ribosomal RNA". It matches the Rfam family "Bacterial small subunit ribosomal RNA", at positions 30 to 507 of the family's 1533-position model. The record is from RNAcentral.
AUUGAACGCUGGCGGCAGGCCUAACACAUGCAAGUCGAACGGUAACACGGUUCAGCUUUCCGAUUCCCUGUCGCGUGUCGGGCGCGUGUGUAGUGUCUGGCAAACUCUCUGAUUGAGGGGGAUAACUCCUGGAAACGGUUGCUACUACCGCAUAACCUCCCAAGACCUAAGAGCGGGACCUUUUGGCCUCUUGCCCUCGUGUAUGCCCAGAUGGGAUUAGCUAGUAGGUGGGGUAACGGCUCACCCAGGCGACGAUCCCUAGCUGGUCUGAGAGGAUGACCAGCCACACUGGAACUGAGACACGGUCCAGACUCCUACGGGAGGCAGCAGUGGGGAAUAUUGGACAAUGGGCGCAAGCCUGAUGCAGCCAUGCCGCGUGUAUGAAGAAGGCCUUCGGGUUGUAAAGUACUUUCAGCGGGGAGGAAGAGCAUAAAGUUAAUACCUUUGCUCAUUGACGUUACCCGCAGAGUAAGCACCGGCUAACUUCGUG